GUCCAGGGAUGGGAAUCGAACCCACAGUGUUCCGCUUACCGGGCAGGUGCCAUGUCCACUAGGCUACCCUGGA
Non-coding RNA from Cordylochernes scorpioides, 73 nucleotides. The record is from the annotation of a GenBank genome assembly. NCBI's taxonomy places the organism in Eukaryota, Metazoa, Arthropoda, Arachnida, Pseudoscorpiones, Chernetidae.